Molecule: long non-coding RNA, 7887 nt
Organism: Bombus huntii
Lineage: Eukaryota; Metazoa; Arthropoda; Insecta; Hymenoptera; Apidae
Exons: 4
Source: RefSeq, a predicted model, not a curated record
CAAAUAACAAAUAUCCAAGUUGAAGAAAUAGAUACUCCAGCAUUAUUUUAUAAAUUUAACAAAGUGCUAUUUCCUAUUCAAAAACUGUUGUUUUAUUUGUUAAUGAUUUUCUUGUUAGAAAAUUCACCGCAUAAUAUAAUGAGAAUAACGAUGUCACAGAAGUUUGUUAGGCGUACAGGUUUAAUAACUUAAUGAUAGAGACGAGCGAUACUCGCACGUCGCGUAUCGUAUCCGGCUACCGGGUCAUGGGGACCAUACUUGGCGGCACGAAAGCCUGCUUGUAACCAAAGUGAAAUUCCAAUGAGCCUAAUUCGCUCGCCAGACAUGUAGAGAAUUCCUUUCGCGUGCCUUCCACUUAUCGAACCUCAGCGUCCGGAGGUGAGAUCCCGCGGACACAAUGGGCCAAUAAAUAUUAUUCAUCGACAAACACAUUUGCAGAAACGAGUCUCCUCGCGAGUUGUGUGGCGCUAAGAUGUACAGAAGGACGAAAAUACCGCUGUGUACCCGAAAAGGAAUUCCAGAAUUCGAAAGACUCGGUAAAUAAAUAGAAAAAGAUGCUUUAGUUUACUCAAGAAACUUUGAUUUCUUUUAAUCCCCUCUUUUAUUAUUUUUUUUCAUGUUCAAUUUGGAUAUCGCAAGUGUUUUGCUUUCUGUUCAUUAAGAAGCUAUCCUGAAUCACUUGGAAUUUUCAGUUUAUUCAAGAAACAAAAUCAAAUCCUUUUGAUUUCUUCUUUUAUCUUUCUCCUCGUACAGGACACUGUAGAAAUAUUGCGAGUUACAAUAUCUGCUUUGCUUUUCGUUCAUUAAAAAGUUAUUCUGAAUCGCGUGCAAUUUUCACAUUACUUUUUCCUAUUUCAGUUUUGUAGAAUGUAUCGUUGCCCGGUAUGAAUGGGUUUUGUAGUCAUUCAAGUUUCCAGCUCUAUUUGUAUUCCUCGACAGGCGUUCCUAACAUUCCAUUACCGUCCUGUAAUAGAUACUAUAUUAUCCUCCACCGAUUUUUCAAACGCGCUUCUAUCGUACAACCUUCGUUUCUCGUUAAUAUUUUCCAAAUGGAUGAAAUAUCAGGAAAAAUUGGUCCCCUCUGUGAAAUAUAUGAAAUGAUAUAUUCUCUAUGUGGCACCAGGGCAAAGAGAGAAACUAUGAAAACGGCUUGGUUUUUGCAUAGUUAUGCGCGAGGAAUGUGAAAUUCUGAAUUUACUCCGAGAGAAACCUAUUUGAUUCGACGACGCUUUGUUAAACGAGUGUAAACGUCUCACGUCCAUACGGGCGCAAACAGACGGUCUCAGCCAGGUGCUGGAUAAAAGCUGUCGAUGCGGGCUUGGCGGGCUAUUUCGUUCGUAAAGGUCGUAAAUUUGCAACGAGACGCGUCUACUUUUCAACAAAACGUCGUUCAAAGGGAUUCGCAUAACAACUUUUUCUUCGCCCAUCGAACAGUCGGUCUAAAAUAGGACAAUGCCUGAUAAAGGUGAAAUGAAAAAUAACGAGAAGAUUUAAUCGCCAAAGGACGUGAAUGGUGUCUAGAUAGAGGCCCUAAGGAUCCUUCGGUUGCAUACAAUUCCUCGCUUGUCUUCUCGUAUGCGGAGAAGGCGCUUGUUUUGGACCGGAUGAUUUAUUCGAGGUAAUCAGUAAGGACACUGAAUUCUACAGAUGCCUAGAUCCCUAGACUAAUACGUGAUCGUGAUUUAUUGCUGUUUUCCACUGUUACCUAUAUUUAUCUGUAUCUUUAAGUCUCCUUAGAUACCGAAAUAAUGUACCAAAGAUAGAUAAGUCUACGAUAGGAAAUUACUAGAAUGAACAUAUUAGGCGCGUGAAUUAAUUCAGUGUCUUUUUAAACGAUAUUCGUAUAAAAUUAAUCAGCAAAUAGCAUCCAUUAUGUAAUUCAUUUGAAGUUAUGUAAACAGAAAUAACAUCUGUUUAAAGCUACCAUAUAACAGAUAACGAAAUAAUUCAAUUUCAUUUAGUAGAAAUGGAUUUAUAAAGCCACUGAAAAUUAAUAUCUUCAAACGAAAGUAUUUAUAAAAUGGAUAAAUAUUCCCUUGCAAAAGAGAACUCAAAAAAAUAAGCUAACUGUAUCUGAAAAUAAGUCCAAUUGAAAAAUGAAAUGUGCAGUUUCUCUUUGAACAGAUUUCCAAAAACAGCAGUGGCCAAGCUGCUUUUAAUCUACACAUUUAACCAGAUUUCCACGCUGGAUCGUAACUAACAGUCAUUUUCAAAUGUUAAAACCAGUGAAGGAGGGAUACUUGGAUCGACAAGCGGCGAUUGGUCGCGUUAUAUAUGUAUCGAACGUAUUUAAGAACAAGCGCGGUACGAUCCCGGUCUUUCCGGUUUUUCUCUCUCCAGACGCAAUGAAACUACGGUAAAAGCGGCGAGAACGUAAUUAAUAUUCGAAAUCUGAAACGUGGAAACGACGCUGGUUCCUACCGGUGGAUAAACGUUCGUCCGUUCGGUGAAUGCUUUCACUAUGCGUACCUACUGCUGGGAUUAGGCAUGCUGGGAAUCCACAUAACGGAGAAGGCAUUGUUACACGUUCGUAUCAACUGUAACGAUGCUGUUUCUAAUCCCUAGAAAUCAAGAAUCUAGUCUUUAAUAACAUAUUAAAAAAAAAAAAAAAAAAACAAAAAGAAAAAUAAACCAACUUUUCCUCCUCAUUUUGUUUCGUUCCGUUCCGUAUCGUAAUUCUUUCUAAUUCAAACCGCCCACUGGUUUCUUACUUAACGUAAUUUAAACGUUCUUCCAUAUCAUUAAGGCCUAAACGGAUAUAUAACAUUUUAAUAUAUGCGAAAUUCUCGCGAUUUAAUCAGGAAGCCGGAAAACGAGUUCGAAACGUGGCCAGUUUGAGAACGAGGGCGUUUUGUUUCGCGGCCCAAUUUCGCUUCAAACGUAUAUCAUUUUACGUGUCGAUGGAUUUGGGUCGUAGAACUAUAUCGCGAUCGGUUAAUGGCGUUGCGUAACGCCAGACGAGAUACGUGACUCGAUAAAAAUCGAUUGUAUCAUCGACGGUGGGAACGUUCGUUUGGUUUCCUCAAGAUCGAGAGCCUUGUUAUAACCCUCUCUCUCUUGUACGUCUCUUUUUUAUACUCCAUCUUCGUUCCUCCCUUUUCCCGCGCCAGAUUCAUAUAUCUUUUUUCGCGCAUGAACGAACUGACGGAUCUGGUAAAUAGAGUGUCUAAAUAAGUUCCUAACUAUCUUUGUUAGAAACGCAAAACAAUCUUCUCGCGCGCGAUUGUUACCAUCAUGAUGAGUAUAUGUAUAUGAAUAAUAAGCUUGGUAAGGCGCAAGGUGAUCCGAUAUAUCGACGAUUCGUGUUGAUUAUAGGUUAGGUUUAGAGCCCCGGAGCACGGGAACGAUGGAGUAAUUCGUUCCCUGGUCGAAGUCGUAACCGCGGUGUAGAGGUGUCGUAACAGCGACUUAAUAACAGCUACGUUGAAAAGGGAAGGGAAAAGGAAGGAAGAUUUUUAUCAGUUCUAACUCAAAUUCGCUACUCUAUAUUUAACCGUGAGGAACAUUCUAACGCUCUUUACAAAGCUCUUGAGAAUUCAUCGUGGUACUAAAACGAAGAUAAAUAAAAUAUAGGAACAUACAAUCGAUAUAAAAUAAUCUGAGGAACUAUGCGGUAAAAAGUGGAAUAAAAGCAUUAUCUAUCGGAAACGUGGAUUAGCGCCCUACAUAAAAUACAUAGUCACUAAAAUACUAUAUUGUACUAGAUAGGUUAGACUCCUAGACCAUGAGCCCUCGAGCGUUGAAGCUAGCUGUCCGCUAUUAAGGGCAUAGAGGGCGCCAAAACAUUGUAUCGCCCGCGGCGCAAACUCUUGCUACAUCAUCUCAUUAACACGGAAGAAUUUAAGAAACGACGAUGAAUAUUUACUUUCAUUUUUUAAAAGUACCACACAGUAACAAGUCAUUGUUCCUCUGUAAUAAAAAUGACCGGUCGAUAAAGCACUAAUAAUCGAUGUAGGAGUCAAGUAUUCGCGGAUCGAAGUGUAGUAGAAAGUGAAGUAUUCCAUCUACGAUUCACACUCCGUUAACGAUCGUUUGUCACGAUCGAAGAUAAAGACGGUAAGAUUCCUACGGCGUUGGUUCCAAUGAGAAUCGCAGCCAAUCGUAUCCAAUGAGAAUUGAUGGAAAUGGAAACCCUUAUCACGAGAUGUCACCAUCCCCUGCUAAGGUUUAAAUUAUGUAAAUUCCCGGGAGUAUCGGUCGUAGCCGAUUGAAUACGCAAAAAGAACACCGAUCGAAGUACAUAUUCUUUUGGAAUUCGAUUAUGUGUCAACACGAUCGAAAUAUGUACGAACAGGAACAUAAGAAAAGAUAAAAGGAGCGUAUUAUAAGGCUUGGAUGUCUACGAUCUUGCGACAAGUAUACAAGUAUAAUUGCUUAUGGAUGCGGACACGCCCUGAGAGAAAAAUUCAUCCGGGGAAUGCGCUGAAGUAACCACGUCCUUGACCGUACUUGACGGAAACGGCAUUCAACCUUCUGAUGCCUUCUUCUCCGUCGUCCAAGAUGGAAUUCUACCGCGAGGCGGUUGUAUUCCAGCUGAACACCGUGUUUGGAACUUUUAUUUGAUGACUACCUAAAGAAAAUAUCAGAAAGAAAAUCGGGGAAGAACGUUGGAAGUUGUUAAUUCCAAAAGUAGUGGAAUUAUUAUUUCUUUUAAAACACUAAUAACGCACUGUUCGAAAAUAAGAAUUCUGGUUUUUAUAUUUCAAAAUGACCUGAAUAUUUACGAAAGAUAAGAAAACGAUUGCCUAUUUUAAUACCAUGCCGUCGAGUAUCUAAUCUAUAAAAUAGUUUUCAAGGAUACUAGAUAUCCUAAUAAAUGAUAAAAUGAUUUAAGCGCCAAGUUACACAGAUCAUAUGUAUUUAUUUCAUCUUUCCAGAUUUUCAUUGCAAGACUAAGAAUCACCUUUGUAAAUUUCCAUGCUUCCUACAAAGUAUAGAAGCAACACAGUUACAUACGUGUAAUGCAGGUAAAUUACUCAAGAAUAUUAUCCGCCUGACUUGGAAAUGAGCAUGCAGGAUGGAACCUGAUUCGCAGUGCGAAGUCUAAAUGACACGGGAGAGAAACGGGAAAUCUGACAUUCUCGUUUUCUUCUCGCACAAGCUAACACCUCGUUAACUGACCAAGAUUUUGUUUCAUUAACUGGCUAUCGCCAUCCUCGCCGAUUAGGAUACAAAAAAAUUGGAAUAGAAAUAAAAAAAGCUUGGUUCUAUAAAAAAUUACGCAAAGUUAAUUUACAAGGGCCGUAUAAUCAUGGUACCGCGUGAUUGAUUUAAAAAAUGGAGGAGGAAUUUGACAUUUUUAAAAGAUUUAUUUCGUCUGGAACAAAAAUUUUGUGCUUUCCGCCUGGAGGCUUUCCUUCCUCUUCUUUUCGCGACAACGUAACGCAACAUGCUCGUUAGAUUGGGGUUCGAGUGCGCGAGAAAGGGGAGGAAUUUAUGCCGUCGUUAACGUAACGUUCCUUGGUGCAAGGUGGUUUACAAGCAACAUCGUAAAAUCCGCGUCUUCUCGAUUUAUCAUAGCACGAGCAACAAACUGCUCGCAUUCCCUUCAUUCGCCAGUGCGUGGAAUAUCUCGUGGCGAAGGUUAUUCACCCUUCUCGAGGGACUAAAAUCACUCUAGAUCCUCCGAGAUAAUGAGGUAUAUCGAAUUGGUAAUAAACAGUGGAAAAGGAGUAUCUCGAGAGAAUUUUUUCAAUACAUUUCCUUUACAUUCUUUGCUAUAAUAAUUUAGUAUUUUAUUAUCCUCCAGUUUUUUUUAUUAGUUUCUUGUCGAUUUAUCAAAAAAUAAUUUUAAACAUAUAAUGUCAGUUGACCAUUUUAUCUGAUUAAUUGUCGAAGAUAUAUUUCUAAGAAAUUUCGAGUAUUUCUAUUCUUCUAAUGUAAGUAAGAUACAAGUACCAGACAUGUUUGCUUAUUUUACAUACGUAGUAUUAGUAUAUUUUACUCGCGUAACACUUGUUUACUUUACAUACACAAUACCAGAGAGUCACUUUAUGAAGUCAGUUUUAAAACUGUUGAGUAUGAUGAAACCAAAUAAAGAAUCAAUUAAAGUUUUUGAACGAAGGAGAAAUAAUAUAAAAUAUAAAAUAGAUAGAAUCUAAGAUAGAUACUAUAAAAUAUAUACAAUAUAAAGGGACUAAACCAUCGCUUUAGAACUUUUCACUAGGCUAAUACGAGCAUCAUCCGGAAUACAUAUUAAGAGAAGGCACAAAACACUCUAUUAGAUAGUGAAGUAUCCAGUAUCUUAAAAGCUCUGACAAGGAUUUUCAAAGACACAUUCGAUACAACUAUUACUAUUGUGCAUUAACACUUAAGGUCUCAACAGUCAAAUCUCAUACUAAGAUUCAGCGAUAGAUUACCGAAGAAACAAACUAGAAACUAUUAACGAUGGACCAUAUUAAUUACCUAAAAUGCAAUACGUAGAUGAAAGUCGAUACUCUGGAUUCUGUUGCACAAUAAUUUAUCAGCUAAUAUGUUAAUGAAUUGACAAUUACAAGCUGCAAGUUAAACUUCUUUUUCGCAACUUUGCAUUUAUAUUGAUCUUUAUGCACAUAUGGGAUAGUAGAAUGCACAUAAUAUAUAAAGAUACGUAUAUACAAAUAUCCAAAGUGGAUAAAACAAUUCUGAGAUAUAAUAAAAAAAUAAAUUUGCAGAAAUAUCCACUAGUUUACUGAUAACGUGUAACUUGUGAUUUGUGAUAUCUCAUUAAUAAUAUUAAGUCAAUUGUGCAAGACUUGGUACCAGUCGAGGGCCAAAACUUUCAAGAAAAUAACAAUUUGUGGAGGUACGACACGUAAAUGCCUGUUGAAAGUAAACAUAUCGCGGACAUACGGCGGUAUGAGCACUGAAAAAGUGGAAAGAAAGUUGCCAAUGCGCCUCGCAUACCUACUGAUCUGCCGGUUGCGAACAAGUUUCGCAGUGAAUGGACCGAGCGAAUGAACUUUUCACUCACUUGCAUCCAUGGUCGGGAUUAAUCUCGAUUAAUCGAAACAUCUUGAUUAACUCAGUGAUACCUGGCCGAUAAAUAAGUAUUUUCGUCGCUUCUAUCGCGAACAGAUUAUGUACUUCCGUGAACCAUUGCUUUGUCAUAGUGGUGCCGAUUCGUCAAUGAUACAUACGCGUUAUCGAGAUUUUAGGAUAAUUUUCGAACAUUUUACUGCGGCUUUCUAAAUCGAACGCAAUUAAUGCUUAUCGAUAUUACAAUGGGUAAUAACAUUAUUUUCAAAACAUGCUCGAUGUUCCGGCGUUCCUUGAAUUCGUCGGGCAACGUCAUGCAAAAGUCGCUACUUUAUAUUUGUUCGUGUGUAUUUCGUAACUGAAGAAUGAAAUUAUUCGUAAACGAUCAUAUACAAGUCACGCACAAAAAGUAGAAAUUAAAUUUGUUUUACGGAGAUGUCAUCGAUUAUCAAAUUGUGCAUAUUUAUACAAAUUCAUAUUGUUAGGAAUAUAGAUCAACAAUAGUUUAUAGUAAUAGUAAAUAUUACAAAGUUAUCUCAUACAGUGGCUACGAAAAGUAUUGACUUCGAGACAUUUAUGUAUAACUAGUAUUAUUUAUGCUUGAUAUGUGUGGUAAACGCGUGAGUGGCAAAAACUAUAUGAAUCCAUCCCCUUUUUUCUCAGGGUAUCGAAGGUCGUUCGAUGCAAUAUCGAUGCACGCGGAGUACGAUAAAUAUUUGCAAUUUAUGUCAAGACGGUCAUAAUCAGUAUACGUAGGUAUUUCGUAGGCGUGAAUUACAGGUGAUUGCCGUGCAGUCACAGUUUACCAUAGACAUCUUCGAUGCUUUGAGCGUGUCGUUAAGGGAUUAGAAUAAUCUGGACGUUUCAUUGGAAUUUUAUGUUCUUUUUCGCAUAUUUCUGUAUAUAUUUAAUUAUUUAUAGUUACACCAA